Molecule: long non-coding RNA, 570 nt
Organism: Phragmites australis (common reed)
Lineage: Eukaryota; Viridiplantae; Streptophyta; Magnoliopsida; Poales; Poaceae
Exons: 2
Source: RefSeq, a predicted model, not a curated record
GAAAGGCGGAAACCAUCUCAACUCCAGAGACGUUCCCGGCGUCGCCCGACGGCCAGAGGUCUCGCUCCGGUCCGCCGGCCUGAGGUCUCGCCGCGGUCCUCUCCUCCCCAGCAUCUUGUUACCAAACUGACGUCGUGUUGUCCGUAAUCUUCUCCAGUUCGUGGCGCUGCUCAGCGGACACGGACCUCCUCCCACCAAAGCCUUCUCUUUUCCUCCUCAUCUUCCCCGCCAUCUGUUGGUGCUGCGCUGGCAUGGCUUGCAGAUCCAUCUCGAUUUGGAUUUGUUUCUUCUCCUGUUAGUUGUGCCGUUGGUGGAGGCUUUUUGAGUCCAUCAAAUUUGAUCUGGUGAGAAAAUUGUCUGAAUUUGUAAUUUAGGGUUUGUUUGGCACAGCUCAACUCUAGGUUUUUCAGUUCCAUUUCAAAAAUCUAUAGUGAUCAUGGAGCUGAAGCUGAUAGUGUUUGCCUAACAGGGUGGCUCUACAUCCAGAAAUAAGAGGUUUUUUUGGAAUUGUCAAUUGUACCCUUGAGGUGUUGCAUGUACACUGUUUUUAACAUGUACAUAUUUGUGAUU